CGCCGGGCGCCGUGGCUCACGCCUGUAAUCCAACACUUUGGGAGGCUGAGGCGGGCGGAUCACUUGAGGUCAAGAGUUCAAGACCAGCCUGGCCAACAUGGUGAAACCCCAUCUCUACUAAAAAUACAAAAAUUAGCCAGAUUCUACUCUAAAAGUCACCAGGAAAAAUUCAGCUCCACUGGUCCGGGCUCUAAGUCUACUAGCAAAAUCUUCCAGAGAAGUGGAAAAGCCAUCAGCCAAUGUGUUAGACUAUCAUUUCCAUGACCUUACACCUAUCAAAAAGGCACUAUUACCAGGCUUAUAGAAUUCUAAAAAAGUUGGAAACCAUUUUCCAUUAUAAAAGAAAUUCUUCCAAAUCACACAAAACACUCUGACACUUCUCCAGUUCCCCCUUU
This 395-nucleotide long non-coding RNA is filed under the name Pan troglodytes (chimpanzee). RNAcentral's name for it is "lincRNA". The record is from RNAcentral. Lineage: Eukaryota; Metazoa; Chordata; Mammalia; Primates; Hominidae.